Molecule: ribosomal RNA, 439 nt
Filed under: uncultured bacterium
Lineage: Bacteria
Description: partial 16S ribosomal RNA
Rfam family: Bacterial small subunit ribosomal RNA
Source: RNAcentral
CCUACGGGCGGCAGCAGUGGGGAAUAUUGCACAAUGGGGGAAACCCUGAUGCAGCGACGCCGCGUGAGUGAAGAAGUAUUUCGGUAUGUAAAGCUCUAUCAGCAGGGAAGAAAAUGACGGUACCUGAUUAAGAAGCACCGGCUAACUACGUGCCAGCAGCCGCGGUAAUACGUAGGGGGCAAGCGUUAUACGGAUUUAUGGGGUUAAAAGGGUGCGCAGGCGGCGAGUUAAGUCAGCGGUAAAAUUUCGGGGCUAAACCCCGACAAGCCGUUGAAACUGGCUUGCUAGAGUGGGCGAGAAGUACGCGGAAUGCGUGGUGUAGCGGUGAAAUGCAUAGAUAUCACGCAGAACCCCGAUUGCGAAGGCAGCAUACCGGCGCCCAACUGACGCUCAGGCACGAAAGCGUGGGUAUCGAACAGGAUUAGAUACCCCAGUAGUC